This 464-nucleotide ribosomal RNA is filed under the name uncultured bacterium. RNAcentral's name for it is "partial 16S ribosomal RNA". It matches the Rfam family "Bacterial small subunit ribosomal RNA", at positions 339 to 795 of the family's 1533-position model. The record is from RNAcentral.
CUACGGGUCGCAGCAGUGGGGAAUAUUGGACAAUGGGCGCAAGCCUGAUCCAGCAAUACCGCGUGUGUGAAGAAGGCCUGCGGGUUGUAAAGCACUUUCAAUUGUGAAGAAAAGCCUGGGGUUAAUACCCUCGGGUCUUGACGUUAACUUUAGAAGAAGCACCGGCUAACUCCGUGCCAGCAGCCGCGGUAAUACGGAGGGUGCGAGCGUUAAUCGGAAUUACUGGGCGUAAAGCGUGCGUAGGCGGCUAGGUCAGUCAGAUGUGAAAGCCCCGGGCUUAACCUGGGAACUGCAUUUGAUACUGCCUGGCUAGAGUAUGGUAGAGGGAAGCGGAACUCCGGGUGUAGCGGUGAGAUGCGUAGAUAUCCGGAGGAACACCAGUGGCGAAGGCGACUUCCUGGACCAAUACUGACGCUGAGGUACGAAAGCGUGGGUAGCAAACAGGAUUAGAUACCCCGGUAGUC